This 420-nucleotide long non-coding RNA is filed under the name Coffea arabica (coffee). RNAcentral's name for it is "long non-coding RNA (CARA_LNC001152)". The record is from RNAcentral. Lineage: Eukaryota; Viridiplantae; Streptophyta; Magnoliopsida; Gentianales; Rubiaceae.
AUUUGUAUGAAUAAUUCCCUCUUUAAACUUAAGUUUUGAGGAAAAGAUGGUGGUAGGAGAGUGCUAACUAUCUUUUGAUUGUAUGAGUUGCUUAUUUGUAGAGUUAACUUAGGGUAAGAGAUUGAAUUGAACAUGACUAAAUUCAAGUAUAAUAGUCGCUCCUUUACUAGAUAUUAUGAGUAUUUAGUGGAAUUUGAAUAAUUGCAUAAUAGUUGAUUUCUGAGUUAUGGGAUUUGCAUUUGAAAAAAUAUAUUAUUUGACUAGGCACUUGGAUCAUUGGUUGUGUAAUUGUUGAUAUUGUUUGAGAACAAAUAAUGAUUCAAGUAUGGGGGAGUUAAUAAUGGCUAAAUUUGUGAUAUUUUUAAAAGUGUUUAUGGUAUUUUUCAGUCAAUUGGUAAGGUUAAAUGAUAUAAGUUGUCC